Molecule: ribosomal RNA, 1154 nt
Filed under: uncultured bacterium
Lineage: Bacteria
Description: bacterial SSU rRNA
Rfam family: Bacterial small subunit ribosomal RNA
Source: RNAcentral
GACUCCUACGGGAGGCAGCAGUGGGGAAUAUUGGACAAUGGGGGCAACCCUGAUCCAGCCAUGCCGCGUGUGUGAAGAAGGCCUUCGGGUUGUAAAGCACUUUAAGCGGGGAGGAAGGCUCUAUGGCUAAUAUCCAUGGGGAUUGACGUUACCCGCAGAAUAAGCACCGGCAAACUUCGUGCCAGCAGCCGCGGUAAUACGAAGGGUGCGAGCGUUAAUCGGAAUUACUGGGCGUAAAGCGCGCGUAGGUGGUUUGAUAAGCGAUAUGUGAAAUCCCCGGGCUUAACCUGGGAACUGCAUGUCGAACUGUCAGGCUAGAGUAUGGUAGAGGGGUGUGGAAUUUCCUGUGUAGCGGUGAAAUGCGUAGAUAUAGGAAGGAACAUCAGUGGCGAAGGCGACACCCUGGACCGAUACUGACACUGAGGCGCGAAAGCGUGGGUAGCGAACAGGAUUAGAUACCCUGGUAGUCCACGCCGUAAACGAUGUCAACUAGCCGUUGGGGGGCUUGUCCCUUCAGUGGCGGAGCUAACGCGAUAAGUUGACCGCCUGGGGAGUACGGCCGCAAGGUUAAAACUCAAAUGAAUUGACGGGGGCCCGCACAAGCGGUGGAGUAUGUGGUUUAAUUCGACGCAACGCGAAAAACCUUACCCGGUCUUGACAUCCUGGGAACUCGCUAGAGAUAGCUUGGUGCCGCAAGGAGCCCAGUGACAGGUGCUGCAUGGCUGUCGUCAGCUCGUGUCGUGAGAUGUUGGGUUAAGUCCCGCAACGAGCGCAACCCUUGUCCUUAGUUGCCAGCAUUCAGUUGGGCACUCUAAGGAGACUGCCGGUGACAAACCGGAGGAAGGUGGGGACGACGUCAAGUCAUCAUGGCCCUUACGACCGGGGCUACACACGUACUACAAUGGAACGUACAGAGGGUCGCAAUGCCGCGAGGCGGAGCCAAUCCCACAAAACGUUUCGUAGUCCGGAUCGGAGUCUGCAACUCGACUCCGUGAAGUCGGAAUCGCUAGUAAUCGCGAAUCAGCAUGUCGCGGUGAAUACGUUCCCGGGCCUUGUACACACCGCCCGUCACACCAUGGGAGUUUACUGCACCAGAAGCCGGUAGCUUAACCGCAAGGGGGGCGCCGUCCACGGUGUGGUCGAUGACUGGGGUG